UAAGAUUUUAAGUUAUGAAAACUAUAUACCUUCAAAGUAUAAAAUAUUUUAAUUUAAAUAAGUCUUAG
Molecule: transfer RNA, 68 nt
Filed under: Proknekalia peringueyi
Lineage: Eukaryota; Metazoa; Arthropoda; Arachnida; Ixodida; Argasidae
Description: Argas peringueyi tRNA-Trp
Source: RNAcentral